RNAcentral lists this ribosomal RNA (671 nucleotides) under Alcanivorax sp. VKRKCd8. RNAcentral describes it as "bacterial SSU rRNA". It matches the Rfam family "Bacterial small subunit ribosomal RNA", at positions 1 to 704 of the family's 1533-position model. Lineage: Bacteria; Pseudomonadati; Pseudomonadota; Gammaproteobacteria; Oceanospirillales; Alcanivoracaceae. The record is from RNAcentral.
GAUCUGGCUCGCUCCUUCUCUGCUGAAGAAAAUCGAGCGGAAACGAUGGGAGCUUGCUCCCAGGCGUCGAGCGGCGGACGGGUGAGUAACACGUGGGAAUCUGCCCAUUAGUGGGGGAUAACUCGGGGAAACUCGAGCUAAUACCGCAUAAUCCCUACGGGGGAAAGCAGGGGAUCUUCGGACCUUGCGCUGAUGGAUGAGCCCGCGUCGGAUUAGCUUGUUGGUGGGGUAAUGGCCCACCAAGGCGACGAUCCGUAACUGGUCUGAGAGGAUGGCCAGUCACACCGGGACUGAGACACGGCCCGGACUCCUACGGGAGGCAGCAGUGGGGAAUCUUGGACAAUGGGCGCAAGCCUGAUCCAGCCAUGCCGCGUGUGUGAAGAAGGCCUUCGGGUUGUAAAGCACUUUCAGUAGGGAGGAAGGCUUUGGGCUAAUACCCUGGAGUACUUGACGUUACCUACAGAAGAAGCACCGGCUAAUUUCGUGCCAGCAGCCGCGGUAAUACAAAGGUGCGAGCGUUAAUCGGAAUUACUGGGCGUAAAGCGCGCGUAGGCGGUGUGUUAAUCGGAUGUGAAAGCCCAGGGCUCAACCUUGGAAUUGCAUCCCAUACUGGCACGCUAAAUGCAAGAGGGGAGGUGGAAUUUCGGGGGCCGGGAAAGCAAAACCGAAGG